Molecule: long non-coding RNA, 488 nt
Organism: Notolabrus celidotus (New Zealand spotty)
Lineage: Eukaryota; Metazoa; Chordata; Actinopteri; Labriformes; Labridae
Exons: 3
Source: RefSeq, a predicted model, not a curated record
UGGUGCCUAUUCCUGAGUAGUUUCUUUACAACAUGCAGUCACACAUGAAUACGGAGGGUUGAACUGAGGCUUUUCAUUGAGUGAGUAGAUGGGUAGGUGUGACUGUGACUUGACUUUAAUGCACGCCACAUUUCUGCCGUCAGAGGAGAAAAUUGCCUUAAAUACUGGGGGGAGUUAGCAACGGUUGUGUGCAUUGUGCCUCUGGAGGCGACUGGACAGAUCUACAACCAAUCAGAGCAAUGCAAUGUGACAUAGCGCAGAUCAACAGCAACAAAGCUGCAAUCUUGGUUGUUUAUGAAAACACUGAAGCAGCUGUGGACAAUGAUUGGUCCGGUCUAACUGGAACUUGCGAAAAAUGGUUCAGAAUUUCAGCAGCUCCAAACCCUCCUGCCAGUGAAAAUGAAUAUGAGCUGGCUGAUGGGUCUGGUGACGCCAGGCUGAAGAUGAAGAAAAUGUAACAAACUACCAAAAUACUUUGUUAAGAAUUA